This 493-nucleotide ribosomal RNA is filed under the name uncultured bacterium. Its description in RNAcentral is "bacterial SSU rRNA". It matches the Rfam family "Bacterial small subunit ribosomal RNA", at positions 11 to 507 of the family's 1533-position model. The record is from RNAcentral.
GUUUGAUCCUGGCUCAGGAUAAACGCUGGCGGCGCACAUAAGACAUGCAAGUCGAACGGACUUUAACCGAAGUAGUUUAUAGUUUUGGAGCGGUUAGUGGCGGACUGGUGAGUAACACGUAAGCAACCUGCCUAUUAGAGGGGAAUAACAGUGAGAAAUCAUUGCUAAUACCGCAUAUGCUGUGAGUAUCGCAUGGUACAAACAGGAAAGGAGCAAUCCGCUAAUAGAUGGGCUUGCGUCUGAUUAGAUGGUUGGUGGGGUAACGGCCUACCAAGUCAACGAUCAGUAGCCGAACUGAGAGGUUGAACGGCCACAUUGGGACUGAGAUACGGCCCAGACUCCUACGGGAGGCAGCAGUCGGGAAUAUUGCACAAUGGAGGAAACUCUGAUGCAGUGACGCCGCGUGCAGGAAGAAGGUUUUCGGAUUGUAAACUGCUUUAGACAGGGAAGAGACAAGACAGUACCUGUAGAAUAAGCUCCGGCUAACUACGUG